This 433-nucleotide ribosomal RNA is filed under the name uncultured bacterium. Its description in RNAcentral is "partial 16S ribosomal RNA". It matches the Rfam family "Bacterial small subunit ribosomal RNA", at positions 29 to 507 of the family's 1533-position model. The record is from RNAcentral.
AACGAACGCUGGCGGCAUGCCUAACACAUGCAAGUCGAACGAGACCUUCGGGCCUAGUGGCGCACGGGUGCGUAACGCGUGGGAAUCUGCCCUUGGGUUCGGAAUAACAGGUGGAAACGACUGCUAAUACCGGAUGAUGACGUACGUCCAAAGAUUUAUCGCACAAGGAUGAGCCCGCGUAGGAUUAGCUAGUUGGUGAGGUAAAGGCUCACCAAGGCGACGAUCCUUAGCUGGUCUGAGAGGAUGAUCAGCCACACUGGGAGUGAGACACGGCCCAGACUCCUACGGGAGGCAGCAGUGGGGAAUAUUGGACAAUGGGCGAAAGCCUGAUCCAGCUAUGCCGCGUGAGUGAUGAAGGCCUUAGGGUUGUAAAGCUCGUUUACCCGGGAUGAUAAUGACAGUACCGGGAGAAUAAGCUCCGGCUAACUCCGUG